RNAcentral lists this ribosomal RNA (301 nucleotides) under uncultured bacterium. Its description in RNAcentral is "partial 16S ribosomal RNA". It matches the Rfam family "Bacterial small subunit ribosomal RNA", at positions 509 to 809 of the family's 1533-position model. The record is from RNAcentral.
CAGUCGCCGCGGUAAUACAGAGGGUGCGAGCGUUAAUCGGAUUUACUGGGCGUAAAGCGUGCGUAGGCGGCUUCUUAAGUCGGAUGUGAAAUCCCUGAGCUUAACUUAGGAAUUGCAUUCGAUACUGGGAAGCUAGAGUAUGGGAGAGGAUGGUAGAAUUCCAGGUGUAGCGGUGAAAUGCGUAGAGAUCUGGAGGAAUACCGAUGGCGAAGGCAGCCAUCUGGCCUAAUACUGACGCUGAGGUACGAAAGCAUGGGGAGCAAACAGGAUUAGAUACCCGCGUAGUCCCUGUCUCUUAUAA